CCUUUCAGAGGGGGAUACCGAUUGGAAACGAUCGUUAAUACCGCAUAACAUAAUUGAACCGCAUGAUUUGAUUAUCAAAGAUUUAUCGCUGAAAGAUGAGCUCGCGUCUGAUUAGCUAGUUGGUAAGGUAACGGCUUACCAAGGCGACGAUCAGUAGCCGGACUGAGAGGUUGAUCGGCCACAUUGGGACUGAGACACGGCCCAGACUCCUACGGGAGGCAGCAGUGGGGAAUAUUGCACAAUGGAGGAAACUCUGAUGCAGCGAUGCCGCGUGAGGGAAGAAGGUUUUAGGAUUGUAAACCUCUGUCUUCAGGGACGAAAAAUGACGGUACCUGAGGAGGAAGCUCCGGCUAACUACGUGCCAGCAGCCGCGGUAAUACGUAGGGAGCGAGCGUUGUCCGGAAUUACUGGGUGUAAAGGGAGCGUAGGCGGGAUCGCAAGUCAGAUGUGAAAACUAUGGGCUUAACCCAUAAACUGCAUUUGAAACUGUGGUUCUUGAGUGAAGUAGAGGUAAGCGGAAUUCCUAGUGUAGCGGUGAAAUGCGUAGAUAUUAGGAGGAACAUCAGUGGCGAAGGCGGCUUACUGGGCUUUAACUGACGCUGAGGCUCGAAAGCGUGGGGAGCAAACAGGAUUAGAUACCCUGGUAGUCCACGCCGUAAACGAUGAUUACUAGGUGUGGGGGGACUGACCCCUUCCGUG
This 699-nucleotide ribosomal RNA is filed under the name uncultured bacterium. Its description in RNAcentral is "bacterial SSU rRNA". It matches the Rfam family "Bacterial small subunit ribosomal RNA", at positions 129 to 845 of the family's 1533-position model. The record is from RNAcentral.